This 126-nucleotide small RNA is filed under the name Salmonella enterica subsp. enterica serovar Potsdam. Its description in RNAcentral is "RtT sRNA". It matches the Rfam family "RtT RNA". From Rfam's summary of the family: This family represents a bacterial cis-regulatory element known as RtT RNA. The exact function of RtT is unknown although it is thought that it may be involved in changing the cellular response in relation to amino acid starvation. Lineage: Bacteria; Pseudomonadati; Pseudomonadota; Gammaproteobacteria; Enterobacterales; Enterobacteriaceae. RNAcentral also lists the same sequence under 5 other names. The record is from RNAcentral.
UUACUAUCUGCGAUAUGGAAGAUUCGAACCUGCCGCAGGUUCGGGUCUCACGUAGUGAGACAACGGAGCCGCUUGCGGCGACGGCCCGAAGGGCGAGCAAAGCGAGUCAUCCUGCACGACCCACCA